CAGAGGGUGCGAGCGUUAAUCGGAAUUACUGGGCGUAAAGGGCGCGUAGGCGGUUUAUCAAGUGAGAUGUGAAAUCCCCGGGCUUAACCUGGGAACUGCAUCUUAAACUGAUGAGCUGGAGUACUGUAGAGGACAGUGGAAUUUCCGGUGUAGCGGUGAAAUGCGUAGAGAUCGGAAGGAACAUCAGUGGCGAAGGCGACUGUCUGGACAGAUACUGACGCUGAGGCGCGAAAGCGUGGGGAGCAAACAGGAUUAGAUACCCUGGUAGUCCACGCUGUAAACGAUGAGAACUGGAUGUUGGUGGGCAUGGCCCAUUAGUAUCGAAGCUAACGCGAUAAGUUCUCCGCCUGGGGAGUACGGCCGCAAGGUUA
RNAcentral lists this ribosomal RNA (371 nucleotides) under uncultured organism. RNAcentral describes it as "bacterial SSU rRNA". It matches the Rfam family "Bacterial small subunit ribosomal RNA", at positions 526 to 896 of the family's 1533-position model. The record is from RNAcentral.